This 64-nucleotide transfer RNA is filed under the name Stylosomus ilicicola. RNAcentral describes it as "tRNA-Thr". Lineage: Eukaryota; Metazoa; Arthropoda; Insecta; Coleoptera; Chrysomelidae. The record is from RNAcentral.
ACUUUAAUAAUUUAAAAAAAAUACUGGUCUUGUAAACCAAAUUUAAGUUAACUCUUUUAAAGUA